UACGAAGGGGGCUAGCGUUGCUCGGAAUCACUGGGCAUAAAGCGCACGUAGGCGGAUUGGUCAGUUAGGGGUGAAAUCCUGGAGCUCAACUCCAGAACUGCCUUUAAUACUGCCAGUCUCGAGUCCGGAAGAGGUAAGUGGAACUCCUAGUGUAGAGGUGGAAUUCGUAGAUAUUAGGAAGAACACCAGUGGCGAAGGCGGCUUACUGGUCCGGUACUGACGCUGAGGUGCGAAAGCGUGGGGAGCAAACAGG
Molecule: ribosomal RNA, 253 nt
Filed under: uncultured bacterium
Lineage: Bacteria
Description: partial 16S ribosomal RNA
Rfam family: Bacterial small subunit ribosomal RNA
Source: RNAcentral